GUCUAUAGCCAUGCCACCCUGAACAAGCCUGAUGUCUGAUCUCAGAAGCCAAGCAGGGUCGGGCCUGGUUAGUACUUGGAUGGGAGACUACCUAGGAAGACCAGGUGCUAUAGACA
This 116-nucleotide ribosomal RNA is filed under the name Pteropus alecto (black flying fox). The record is from RNAcentral. Lineage: Eukaryota; Metazoa; Chordata; Mammalia; Chiroptera; Pteropodidae.